This 64-nucleotide small RNA is filed under the name Bordetella holmesii CDC-H572-BH. RNAcentral's name for it is "putative sRNA P26". Lineage: Bacteria; Pseudomonadati; Pseudomonadota; Betaproteobacteria; Burkholderiales; Alcaligenaceae. RNAcentral also lists the same sequence under 9 other names. The record is from RNAcentral.
GCCCUUGACCUUCCAGCCAAAGACAUAGUCGGGCGGCUGUGGUUCGGCGGCCUUGUCCGCCGCU